GCUGCGGGUUGCCUUAAAGGACGCAGGAAAGAAAAGGACAACAGAGCUUUUCUUGGGUAUGCAAAUGCACAGACUGCAGCUACAAAGCAUGUGUGUUUGAACCUCAGAUGUGCUGCCAUGAUACUAUUAAGGAGGUCUGAUAUAUCAGCGUGUGCAAACAUUGCUCUCUUUGUCUGAAAUUCUCCCUGAAGAGCACACACAGUGGAUAAUUCAUAAAAAGUCAAUUGUUUGAAGGUGUUUAAAACUUUACGCCUGGACGAAACAGAACAAAGAGGCCUUAUUUAAAGUGUGGAGUAAAAAAGGAGAAGCUCAAUUCUUCAAAAUGCAAACUCAAUUAUAUAAAAUUAAACCCUGAAAAGCAUCAAGUUUUAGAGGUUCUUCCCUGAAGGUUUUUUUUUUUUCUAAAGAGAUUCCUCGCCAUUAAAACCUCCUCUCUGUUCUCACAAUCCCCCUGAGGAGGCUGGUGCAAAGUCUGCCGCUGUCUGGCUGUUCCCAUGGCAACCACCAGGUGAGCAGACAGGCUUGGAAAGCACGGCGGAGAACAUGUGACUCCCUCCACAUGCUCAGGCACACCACAUACACACACACACACACACACACACACACACACAUACUUUCUCCCUCUACAGGAGGAGAACUCUCCGUUAUAUCCAAACUUGUGAGAACACAGUGUAAUCACAAAAAGGCAAUGUUUGGGGAGACUGAAAGCAGACGAGCAGAUGACCAGUCUGCCAGUCCGUCUGUUUACCACUCUCUGUGUCUGUCUCUCUCUCUGACACUUACAUGCACACAUAUAAAUACACAGUGUCUCAUGUAUUGAAGAGUGAGGAGGAGGAGGAGGAGGCUGUCUUAGAGGGGGGCAACUGAGAUGUGUCAUAAGCACUGAACGUCAAGUCCAGUUCUGCUACAGCGGCAAAAAAAAAAUUUGAAAAAAGAAAAAAGAGGGGGGAGAAGGGGAGCAUAGCACCUCUUUCAGGUCCAGUAAUGCUUUGGGCUUAACUUAAGUUUCCAAAGCUGUUUUCACACAAGGUAAAAUUGCAGAAAAGUUCCCUGAAAUGUCCUGAGGGCCACACCUGUGCACACAAACAGCAAACUUUCACCCCUGAUUCUUCCCAAGCUCUUCCCUUCCAGACUUUCGAUAGAUUUUCUGCAAAACAAAAAAGUCAGGGGGAAAAUCACAGUGAGGGAGGUAGGUGUGGAUGACGGGCUAUUUAGUAAUAACACCAGUUCAGUUGUUAGGCAUCCUACCAAAUAUAAUGACAAUUCUCCUAAUGGUUUCAAAACCACAACAAUCCACAUCAUGGAGGCUGUAAAAGAAAAGUCAUGGGCUUCAUCCUCUGGGGACCAUGACUGUCUGUAAAAAAAUCAUCCUGGCAAUCCUUCAAAUAAUGGCUGAGAUAUUUUAGUGCAGAUAAAAGUGGUGAACAGAUGGACAGACCAACAGACAGACCAUCUGACCGGCUAGAGCUGCACCUGUGAGGUUCACACAAAGAGUAUUUGCAGUGUGUAUUAACCAUUGAUUCAGGCUUAUCUACCAUUAUGACCAGAACCUUUCAAUCUGCAAACAUAAGACUCAUCAGACAGCACAUUGACUCCACUGUCCAUUUAGUUAAUAGACUUUAUAUAUGUCUACUCUCUUCAGGGUGCCUAAAAAUCACUACAUCUUAAUUUGCCUUUGUCAAGAGUUUUUAGAAGCAGAAUGAAAACAUGCAGAUGUCUCUUAAAGGGAUAUUCCGGCGUAAAAUUUAGUUAGGGUCAAACACACAGUAACACCUAGUUAGACACCCCCUCCAGAGAUGAAUGUUGCCGAUCACUUGCUUCUCUAGUUAUACCAGCUUAAGUAACUACCGCAUGAUAGCAAUACACAGCGGUCUGAAGCGCCACACGUUCAACCAAAACGCCACUCUAUAGCGUCAAAUAAUGCUCAGAACAGCACUUAACUUCAUCAACAGUACAUAUAGGGUCCCAGCCACAGCGCUAGCCACCAAACAUCUUUUUAACUUUGCCUAUUUUCUUUAGCAAAGAGAAUAAACACAAUUCACCUACUCUCUUCCAGCAGCCACUUGUUUGUAGCGAGACCUCGGGCCAGUCCAUUACGGACUACAGCAGGGUGACACAGCUCAAGGAAGAACAUUUAUAAUCAUUUCUUCAUGGAAAUACAAUCAGACAGAGACGCUAAAACAGAAGAACUACCGCAUCUGCAGAGCAAAAUGAUUAAUAUGGUGAUUAUUACUUUUAGGAAAUGAUAAA
RNAcentral lists this long non-coding RNA (2250 nucleotides) under Xyrichtys novacula (pearly razorfish). The record is from RNAcentral. Lineage: Eukaryota; Metazoa; Chordata; Actinopteri; Labriformes; Labridae.